Molecule: long non-coding RNA, 605 nt
Filed under: Parus major (Great Tit)
Lineage: Eukaryota; Metazoa; Chordata; Aves; Passeriformes; Paridae
Description: lncRNA (ENSPMJG00000000498.1)
Source: RNAcentral
UUUCUUUCCAUUUUCCACAUAAUUUUUGCAAACUUCUUCCUCUGCCUGGUCUGACAUCUCCUCUUUUUACUUUUCUAUUACACUGACCGUCAAUGCUUCCUUUCUUUCUGAUCUCUUAGACCAUCUUCCCUUCAUAGCUUAGAUUUGCCUCAUGAUUAUGUUGAAUACAAUUUCUUUCAGAGUACAAUAAAUCACAUUAUCCAAACUAUCCAUCCUUUCACAACUGUGCCUUGGCUUUGUGGUCCAGACAAAGAACAUUCAUGUGCUUGAAAUUACUGAACUGCAGCACUUGCCAGCACUAAACUAGAGGCCUGUAAGGAAUGGGUGGCUGUAUUUCAGAGCUGGAGCCAGUACAGCUGCUUUCUGCUUUUCAGAAGUGCAUGAAUUGUGGCUUAGCUUUUGGAGUUCAGACACAGGAGAAGGCUAUCAACGUGCUUGCUGCAGUGACUGGACCAGACCUGGUCAGUGAGGGAAGAAUUUGGGUUACAAUUAGCUGCUCUUCAAAUGAAGCUGUUCACUGAGCAGUAGGUGUAAGCAAAUGGGAGAUGGAAGUAUGGGAAGAGGGUCCAGAAAGAGAAAAAUGGAGGAAGGAGGUAGUCUGGGAG